CAGCCGCCGCGGUAAUGCGUAGGUGGCAAGCGUUGUCCGGAAUUAUUGGGCGUAAAGGGCUCGCAGGCGGUUUCUUAAGUCUGAUGUGAAAGCCCCCGGCUCAACCGGGGAGGGUCAUUGGAAACUGGGAAACUUGAGUGCAGAAGAGGAGAGUGGAAUUCCACGUGUAGCGGUGAAAUGCGUAGAGAUGUGGAGGAACACCAGUGGCGAAGGCGACUCUCUGGUCUGUAACUGACGCUGAGGAGCGAAAGCGUGGGGAGCGAACAGGAUUAGAUACCCGGGUAGUCCCUGUCUCUUAUAC
RNAcentral lists this ribosomal RNA (301 nucleotides) under uncultured bacterium. RNAcentral's name for it is "partial 16S ribosomal RNA". It matches the Rfam family "Bacterial small subunit ribosomal RNA", at positions 509 to 807 of the family's 1533-position model. The record is from RNAcentral.